Molecule: ribosomal RNA, 497 nt
Filed under: uncultured bacterium
Lineage: Bacteria
Description: partial 16S ribosomal RNA
Rfam family: Bacterial small subunit ribosomal RNA
Source: RNAcentral
GAUGAACGCUGGCGGCGUGCCUAAUACAUGCAAGUCGAGCGAACAGACGAGGAGCUUGCUCCUCUGACGUUAGCGGCGGACGGGUGAGUAACACGUGGAUAACCUACCUAUAAGACUGGGAUAACUUCGGGAAACCGGAGCUAAUACCGGAUAAUAUAUUGAAUCGCAUGGUUCAAUAGUGAAAGACGGUUUUGCUGUCACUUAUAGAUGGAUCCGCGCCGCAUUAGCUAGUUGGUAAGGUAACGGCUUACCAAGGCAACGAUGCGUAGCCGACCUGAGAGGGUGAUCGGCCACACUGGAACUGAGACACGGUCCAGACGCCUACGGGAGGCAGCAGUAGGGAAACUUCCGCAAUGGGCGAAAGCCUGACGGAGCAACGCCGCGUGAGUGAUGAAGGUCUUCGGAUCGUAAAACUCUGUUAUUAGGGAAGAACAAAUGUGUAAGUAACUAUGCACGUCUUAACGGUACCUAAUCAGAAAGCCACGGCUAACUACGUG